This 253-nucleotide ribosomal RNA is filed under the name uncultured bacterium. Its description in RNAcentral is "partial 16S ribosomal RNA". It matches the Rfam family "Bacterial small subunit ribosomal RNA", at positions 524 to 776 of the family's 1533-position model. The record is from RNAcentral.
UACGGAGGGUGCGAGCGUUGUCCGGAAUCACUGGGCGUAAAGGGCGCGUAGGCGGCUUGGGAAGUCUGUGGUGAAAGCUCGUGGCUCAACUGCGAGUCGGCCAUAGAUACUCCUAAGCUCGAGUCGACUAGAGGCAGAUGGAAUUCCGGGUGUAGCGGUGGAAUGCGUAGAGAUCAUGAGGAAGACCAGUGGCGAAGGCGGGUCUCUGGACAGUUCCUGACGCUGAGGCACGAAGGUCAGGGGAGCAAACGGG